GUAGGUGGCAAGCGUUGUCCGGAAUUAUUGGGCGUAAAGCGCGCGCAGGCGGUCCUUUAAGUCUGAUGUGAAAGCCCACGGCUCAACCGUGGAGGGUCAUUGGAAACUGGGGGACUUGAGUACAGAAGAGGAAAGCGGAAUUCCAAGUGUAGCGGUGAAAUGCGUAGAGAUUUGGAGGAACACCAGUGGCGAAGGCGGCUUUCUGGUCUGUAACUGACGCCGAGGCGCGAAAGCGUGGGGAGCAAACAGGAUUAGAUACCCUGGUAGUCCACGCCGUAAACGAUGAGUGCUAAGUGUUAGGGGGUUUCCCGCCCCCUUAGUGCUGCAGCUAACGCAUUAAGCACUCCGCCUGGGGAGUACGGCCCGCAAGGCUG
This 374-nucleotide ribosomal RNA is filed under the name uncultured organism. RNAcentral describes it as "partial 16S ribosomal RNA". It matches the Rfam family "Bacterial small subunit ribosomal RNA", at positions 527 to 896 of the family's 1533-position model. The record is from RNAcentral.